UUACUUGACACAGGAUACUACCUACAACACUGGGUACAUAAGGGUGUUACUAAUAAAGUGGGCCUAAAAGCAGCCACCUUAUAAAAGCGUUAAAGCUUAACUUACACUACCCCAGAUACCUUUAAUUUAUUUUAACCCUUCACUACUACUGAAUUAUUUUAUAAUUACUAUAAAAGAUAUUAUGUUAGAACUAGUAACAAGAAAUUUUUUCUCCUAAAUGUAAACAUAAACCAGGACUGGACCCUCCACUGGUAAUUAACGUAAAUGAUAAAAUUAUAGUAACACCCAUCAAGAAUACCCUAUAACUUACUAACGUUAACCUAACACUAGGACAUUACAGGAAAGAUUAAAAGAGAAAGAAGGAACUCGGCAAACUUUAGCCCCGCCUGUUUACCAAAAACAUCGCCUCUUGACUGAAGAUAAGAGGUCCAGCCUGCCCAGUGACUAAAUUAAACGGCUGUGGUACUCUGACCACACAAAGGUAGCGUAAUCACUUGUUCCAUAAAUGGGGACUUGUAUCAACGGCAUCACGAGGGCUGUACUGUCUCCUUUCUCCAAUCAGUGAAACUGAUCUUCCCGUGAAGAAGCGGGAAUUAACUA
This 600-nucleotide ribosomal RNA is filed under the name Huia cavitympanum (Sabah huia frog). Its description in RNAcentral is "partial 16S ribosomal RNA". The stretch from base 344 to 592 matches the Rfam family "Archaeal large subunit ribosomal RNA", at positions 1787 to 2143 of the family's 2987-position model. Lineage: Eukaryota; Metazoa; Chordata; Amphibia; Anura; Ranidae. The record is from RNAcentral.